AUCGAUCCCCUUCCCUAACCUAACUGCUAGCUCCCUCCCCCGACCCCGAUUCAGCCUCCCCUAGAUCCGGCUCCGCCGGCCCUCUCCUGCCUCCCUCACCGGCUCGCCCCUCGGACCUUGGUGGCUCGGUCCCCUCCCCUCCGCGCUCCGGCCGGCCCUCUCUAGCUCAGGCUCUCCGCCUCUCCCUCCCCUGCCGCUGCCGGCCUGCCCUCGCCCGUUCGCCCUCCGGUCCGGCUUCAGCAGCGGCGCGGCUCCGGUGCUCCGGCGCUCCGCCAGGCACCAGUCAGCCUCCGGCGUCCCCUGCUCCCCGGACCCCGGCCCUUACGCUCACCUCCGCCCUCGGUCUACUGAAGAUGAGAAAGAAGGAUGUUACCUUAUUUCAAUUGUGGGACAUAUCUUCAAAGGCAAAGAAAAUUACCUCUACAUCCACACCAACUUCUCUUUCUGUUGAGGUUGAGAGCAAUCCUAGUGUUGUUUUGUUCAUAUAUUGCUAGUGGUCUGUUGUUUGGUUCAUACUAUACUAUAUUUAGAGCAAAAGUUUUUUUGGGUGAAUACCCAGCCUUCA
Molecule: long non-coding RNA, 565 nt
Organism: Triticum dicoccoides
Lineage: Eukaryota; Viridiplantae; Streptophyta; Magnoliopsida; Poales; Poaceae
Exons: 2
Source: RefSeq, a predicted model, not a curated record